RNAcentral lists this ribosomal RNA (255 nucleotides) under uncultured bacterium. RNAcentral describes it as "partial small subunit ribosomal RNA". It matches the Rfam family "Bacterial small subunit ribosomal RNA", at positions 26 to 286 of the family's 1533-position model. The record is from RNAcentral.
AGGACGAACGCUGGCGGCGUGCUUAACACAUGCAAGUCGAGCGGAAAGGCCCUUCGGGUACUCGAGCGGCGAACGGGUGAGUAACACGUGGGCAACCUGCCCUCCACUCUGGGAUAACUCCGGGAAACCGGGGCUAAAUACUGGAUACGACUAGCCUCCGCAUGGGGGUUGGUGGAAAGUUUUUCGGUGGAGGAUGGGCCCGCGGCCUAUCAGCUUGUUGGUGGGGUGAUGGCCUACCAAGGCUUUGACGGGUAG